Molecule: ribosomal RNA, 824 nt
Filed under: Citrobacter sp.
Lineage: Bacteria; Pseudomonadati; Pseudomonadota; Gammaproteobacteria; Enterobacterales; Enterobacteriaceae
Description: bacterial SSU rRNA
Rfam family: Bacterial small subunit ribosomal RNA
Source: RNAcentral
GCCCACGGGCCACCAUGCAGUCGAACGGUAGCACAGAGGAGCUUGCUCCUUGGGGACGAGUGGCGGACGGGUGAGUAAUGUCUGGGAAACUGCCCGAUGGGGGGGAUAACUACUGGAAACGGUGCUAAUACCGCAUAACGUCGCAAGACCAAAGAGGGGGACCUUCGGGCCUCUUGCCAUCGAUGUGCCCAGAUGGGAUUACUAGUAGGUGGGGUAACGGCUCACCUAGCACGAUCCCUACUGGUCUGAGAGGAUGACCACCCACUGGAACUGAGACCGGCCAACUCCUACGGGAGGCAGCGUGGGGAAUAUUGCACAUGGGCGCAGCCUGAUGCACCAUGCCCCGGUUAAAAAGGCCUUCGGGUUGUAAAGUACUUUCAGCGAGGAGGAAGGAAUUAGUAAUAACCUUCGAUUGACGUUACUCGCAAAGAAGCACCGGUAACUCCGUGCCAGAUCACUCUAACGGAGGGUGCAAGCGUUAAUCGGAAUUACUGCGCGUAAAGUGCACGCGCGUCUGUCAAGUCGAUGGGAAAUCCCCGGUCAACCUGGGAACUGCUCGAAACUGGCAGGUCGAUCUUGUAAGGGGGGUAGAAUUCCGUGACCGUUGAAAUGCGUAAAUCUGAGAAUACCGGUGGCAAGGGCCUCUGACAAAGACUGACGCUCAAGUACGAAGCGUGGGAGCAAACAGAUUACAUACCCUGGUACCCCGCCGUAACAUGUCGACUUGUUAGGUUGUGCCCUUGGUCUGCCAUCCGAGCUAACGUGUUAACUCACCGCUGCGAACACGCCAGGUUAAACCUCUAUGAAUUGCCGGGGGCCCGUAA